ACGUCUUCGUACCUCUAUGGAAAUGAACCUCCACUCAGCAUGCAUGGAAAAUUAGUGAAAUGAGGUCACCAGGGCUCUGUUAAUGGUAUGAGGCCCCCCUAUGGAAGCCCACUUCCACCCUCCUUGGAAGGCUCAGUGUUUCUCUCCAAUGUUGUUACCCCUACAUUAGAAAGCAAGUGCAGGGCCUGAAUCACAGCUGUGUGACCUCAGCCAAUUGAUGAAAAACAGAAGAGAGGAACGAGGAAAAGAUUUGGCGCAGAUUUGUCU
Molecule: long non-coding RNA, 267 nt
Organism: Nyctereutes procyonoides (raccoon dog)
Lineage: Eukaryota; Metazoa; Chordata; Mammalia; Carnivora; Canidae
Exons: 3
Source: RefSeq, a predicted model, not a curated record